CAGGGACCCUCCACAGGAGGGCCCUCUAAGAGUCUCUGCUGAAUUUGUCUGACAGAGAAAUACAAUUUCUGAGCUGUCUAUUGAAUAACUCCUCAGCACAGCUAAAUGAUGUCUU
This 115-nucleotide long non-coding RNA is filed under the name Aotus nancymaae (Ma's night monkey). RNAcentral's name for it is "SPRY4-IT1 conserved region 2 (ENSANAG00000012695.1)". It matches the Rfam family "SPRY4-IT1 conserved region 2". The record is from RNAcentral. Lineage: Eukaryota; Metazoa; Chordata; Mammalia; Primates; Aotidae.